AAUGAACGCUGGCGGCGCGCCUAAUACAUGCAAGUCGAGCGAAGAAGACGUAGCAAUACGUUUGUAAAGCGGCGAACGGGUGAGGAAUACAUGGGUAACCUACCCUCGAGUGGGGAAUAACUAGCCGAAAGGUUAGCUAAUACCGCGUACGCUCCUUGGACUUCGGUUCAGGGAGGAAAGCGAUACCGUGGUAUCGCGCUCUUGGUUGGGCUCAUGUCCUAUCAGCUUGUUGGUGAGGAACGGCUCACCAAGGCUUCGACGGUAGCUGGUCUGAGAGGACGAUCAGCCACACUGGCACUGCGACACGGGCCA
RNAcentral lists this ribosomal RNA (312 nucleotides) under uncultured bacterium. RNAcentral's name for it is "bacterial SSU rRNA". It matches the Rfam family "Bacterial small subunit ribosomal RNA", at positions 29 to 333 of the family's 1533-position model. The record is from RNAcentral.